RNAcentral lists this ribosomal RNA (253 nucleotides) under uncultured bacterium. Its description in RNAcentral is "partial 16S ribosomal RNA". It matches the Rfam family "Bacterial small subunit ribosomal RNA", at positions 524 to 776 of the family's 1533-position model. The record is from RNAcentral.
UACGUAGGGGGCGAGCGUUGUCCGGAUUUAUUGGGCGUAAAGAGCGUGUAGGCGGCCAGGUAGGUCUGCUGUGAAAACUCGAGGCUCAACCUCGAGACGUCGGCGGAAACCAUCUGGCUAGAGUCCGGAAGAGGAGAGUGGAAUUCCUGGUGUAGCGGUGAAAUGCGCAGAUAUCAGGAAGAACACCCGUGGCGAAGGCGGUUCUCUGGGACGGUACUGACGCUGAGACGCGAAAGCGUGGGGAGCGAACAGG